GUGCCAGCCGCCGCGGUAAUACGGAAGGUCCGGGCGUUAUCCGGAUUUAUUGGGUUUAAAGGGAGCGCAGGCUGAUUGCUAAGCGUGACGUGAAAUGUAGCCGCUCAACGGCUGAACUGCGUCGCGAACUGGCAGUCUUGAGUGAGUACGACGUCAGCGGAAUUCGUGGUGUAGCGGUGAAAUGCUUAGAUAUCACGAAGAACCCCGAUUGCGAAGGCAGCUGACGAGUCCUUUACUGACGCUAAAGCUCGAAGGUGCGGGUAUCGAACAGGAUUAGAUACCCUGGUAGUCCGCACGGUAAACGAUGGAUGCCCGCUGUUGGCGAUAUACAGUCAGCGGCCAAGCGAAAGCGUUAAGCAUCCCACCUGGGGAGUACGCCGGCAACGGUGAAACUCAAAGGAAUUGACGGGGGCCCGCACAAGCGGAGGAACAUGUGGUUUAAUUCGAUGAUACGCGAGGAACCUUACCCGGGCUUGAACUGCAGCAGAACGAUUCAGAGAUGAUGAGGCCCUUCGGGGCUGCUGUGGAGGUGCUGCAUGGUUGUCGUCAGCUCGUGCCGUGAGGUGUCGGCUUAAGUGCCAUAACGAGCGCAACCCUUGUCUGUAGUUGCCAUCAGGUGAUGCUGGGCACUCUGCGGAUACUGCCACCGUAAGGUGUGAGGAAGGUGGGGAUGACGUCAAAUCAGCACGGCCCUUACGUCCGGGGCUACACACGUGUUACAAUGGGUAGUACAGAGAGUCGGUGCAUGGCAAUGUGCAUCCAAUCCUUAAAGCUAUCCUCAGUUCGGAUUGGGGUCUGCAACCCGACCCCAUGAAGCUGGAUUCGCUAGUAAUCGCGCAUCAGCCAUGGCGCGGUGAAUACGUUCCCGGGCCUUGUACACACCGCCCGU
RNAcentral lists this ribosomal RNA (889 nucleotides) under uncultured bacterium. Its description in RNAcentral is "bacterial SSU rRNA". It matches the Rfam family "Bacterial small subunit ribosomal RNA", at positions 505 to 1397 of the family's 1533-position model. The record is from RNAcentral.